GUCAAACUGCUAGGGGGACACUAUUACCACCCGAUUAACUGACACAGGAGAACUUCCUGGUGAGUUCUAGAAUGCUUCUCUGGGCAGUUCUUUCCUUUCUUUUGUUUUUAUGUCUGCUUUUCCAGUUUCACGCGGACUUGGGUCCACGGAGGUUUCGGUGAAUGAUGUGCGUACGUUUACUGCCUACCUCUCUGCCUCAAGGUCUGACAGCUCUUCCUUGUCCUUUUGCUUUCAGAUGGCAUCUUUUCACUGUACUGAUGGAUAGCACACACCACUUCCUGGUGUGUGCUCAUUUAUUGAACAUAAACACGCAUUUACUCACUGCACAGCCAAACCUCUGAACAAGGAGGCAGCCUUGAUGAACAGAAAAGCCUGAAACCGGAGCCAUGCUGUGAAGUCUCACGGUAAGUUAAGCAUCCAAUUAAGUGCCACACUUACUUUAACUGGUUAAAUGGGCAAAAAUCUGACACAGGUGCAUAGCAGAAAAUGAUGGCAUCUUGAGAAACAACCUUGCAGGAGAGUCUCAGAUUUUCUUUGAUGUACUAGUCUGACAUUUCAGAGACUCUGCCUCCACAGCCACUCGGCUGCUGCAGGUUGCCUCAGCCUCUUCUGAGCUUUUAGGAUACUUCUUGAAGUCAACGAUGUUAUUAUGCCCACUUUAUAGGUGAGAAAGAAGGCAAAGAGGCGGGAUGAGCACACACAACCAGCAAGGACUAGAGAGGGGGCUGGUACUCAAAAAAUGCCCUUCAGUCUACAUUCUCAGCGACUUCUGGGGCCUUCGGACAGGAACGGGUCCUGCCACAUGACCUGUGCUAUUUUGGGAAUGAAACCGAUAGGAAGCAUCCUGACCACUUAGUGUCCCCGGUGCACUCUGGGGAAAUUCUAGUGUAAUAACUGAAGAGCGCCCGGUGCAGUUUUUUGUUUUUUUUCAUUUUCAUUUUCUCCCCUGAUACAGAGUCUCAUCUAUCAAAUAGGUUGGACUUGAACUCUCUAUGCAAUCAAGAAUGCCCUUGAAUUUCUGAUCUUCCUGGUUCUACCUCCCUAAUCCUGGCUUUACAGGCAAGCACCAUCAUAUCUGGCUUUAUGCAGUGCUGGGGAUAGAACUCAGAACCUCAUGCAUCCUAAGUAAGCGCCCUACCAACUGAGCUACACCCACGGACAGAAUGUGUGUUCGUUCUUCUUCUUUCAAUACGCAAGCAGUCAUAGGACAUAAGUAAAGGUUAUUUCUGCAGGCAUCUUUUCAAGAUGUCUAGAAGCUGUCACCAUCAGAGACUGUCUGAAGAGAACUGAAGACAUCUGAUUCCAGUGCUCAAGUUCAGAUGAAGGAAGGUCUGCCCAGUAUGUGCUGUGUUUGAGCCAAACAGUAUGGACUAAGCUGGAGAAGCGGCCUGACAGCCUAGCUAUGCUCAUCUUGGCUGCGGCUGAUGCACCAUAGUCGUUGUCUAUGUUCUGGACCAACCCUCCUUCUGGCUUUACCUCUGCAUCCUCCUUACUCUCUGGGGGAGGGGCCUCAGCAUCAGUCAUCCUCCUAGGCAGCUGGAGCACCAUUUCAGUGCUCACAGCACUCUGUGCUCACAGAGGGAGAAAGAGAGUGAGUGUGUGACAUCUCUUCAUUUUCCUUCUCAUUCUCUGAUUGCAUAGAAAGUAGCUCACACUCGUAUCCUUGACCUUCUACUUCAAACUCAUGGGGUUUCAGGUUUUCCUAUCAAGGGAUGAAUCUCUACAGAGCACGGUCUCUUCCUUUCAACAUGUUAUGCUGAAGGGAGGCUUUGUAGAUGGUGGGGAGCCACCCACCUGCUGCUUAAUCCCUGAAGUGUUUACAUCAUCUAUUGGCAUAGUUCACAAACAUUAGCUGAGCUGAGACACGAAAAUAAAGGCACCUGGUACAGUCCCUGUCCUCGGUGUAGGUAUGAAAAUGGGUGGUGGAUGGCGACUUCAGUAUUGAAUGUGGCAAACCAGAAACCAACACUGAGACUGUGUGAUGUUCGGGCACCUGUGCAGAGCGCUGUGUACCCAGAGGACUACGAGCAUCUUCCUAACCCGACUGUAUGCUGCUUCCUGAAGUCAUAGGCUGCUG
This 2077-nucleotide long non-coding RNA is filed under the name Mus musculus (house mouse). RNAcentral describes it as "long non-coding RNA chr6:50324860-50326937". Lineage: Eukaryota; Metazoa; Chordata; Mammalia; Rodentia; Muridae. The record is from RNAcentral.